This 106-nucleotide small nuclear RNA is filed under the name Octodon degus (degu). Lineage: Eukaryota; Metazoa; Chordata; Mammalia; Rodentia; Octodontidae. The record is from RNAcentral.
GUGCUUAGUUUGGUAAUAUGUACACUAAAAUUAGAAUGAUACAGAAAUUACCAUGGCCCCUAUGCAAGGGGAUGAUAUGCAAAUUUGUGAAGCAUUAGAAGGAAAA